This 468-nucleotide ribosomal RNA is filed under the name uncultured bacterium. RNAcentral's name for it is "partial 16S ribosomal RNA". It matches the Rfam family "Bacterial small subunit ribosomal RNA", at positions 28 to 507 of the family's 1533-position model. The record is from RNAcentral.
GACGAACGCUGGCGGCGUGCUUAACACAUGCAAGUCGAACGGAAAGGCCCUGCUUUUGUGGGGUGCUCGCGUGGCGAACGGGUGAGUAACCCGUGAGUAACCUGCCCUUGACUUUGGGAUAACUUCAGGAAACUGGGGCUAAUACCUGAUAGGAGCUCCUGCUGCAUGGUGGGGUUUGGAAAGUUUCGGCGGUUGGGGAUGGACUCGCGGCUUAUCAGCUUGUUGGUGGGGUAGUGGCUUACCAAGGCUUUGACGGGUAGCCGGCCUGAGAGGGUGACCGGCCACAUUGGGACUGAGAUACGGCCCAGACUCCUACGGGAGGCAGCAGUGGGGAAUAUUGCACAAUGGGCGGAAGCCUGAUGCAGCAACGCCGCGUGCGGGAUGACGGCCUUCGGGUUGUAAACCGCUUUCGCCUGUGACGAAGCGUGAGUGACGGUAAUGGGUAAAGAAGCACCGGCUAACUACGUG